AAUCCAUAGGUUAAUGAGGCGAACCGGGGGAACUGAAACAUCUAAGUACCCCGAGGAAAAGAAAUCAACCGAGAUUCCCCCAGUAGCGGCGAGCGAACGGGGAGGAGCCCAGAGCCUGAAUCAGCAUGUGUGUUAGUGGAAGCGUCUGGAAAGGCGCGCGAUACAGGGUGACAGCCCCGUACACAAAAGCGCAUGUGCUGUGAGCUCGAUGAGUAGGGCGGGACACGUGGUAUCCUGUCUGAAUAUGGGGGGACCAUCCUCCAAGGCUAAAUACUCCUGACUGACCGAUAGUGAACCAGUACCGUGAGGGAAAGGCGAAAAGAACCCCGGCGAGGGGAGUGAAAAAGAACCUGAAACCGUGUACGUACAAGCAGUGGGAGCACAGGUUUACCUGUGUGACUGCGUACCUUUUGUAUAAUGGGUCAGCGACUUAUAUUCUGUAGCAAGGUUAACCGAAUAGGGGAGCCGGAGGGAAACCGAGUCUUAAUUGGGCGUUAAGUUGCAGGGUAUAGACCCGAAACCCGGUGAUCUAGCCAUGGGCAGGUUGAAGGUUGGGUAACACUAACUGGAGGACCGAACCGACUAAUGUUGAAAAAUUAGCGGAUGACCUGUGGCUGGGGGUGAAAGGCCAAUCAAACCGGGAGAUAGCUGGUUCUCCCCGAAAGCUAUUUAGGUAGCGCCUCGUGAAUUCAUCUCCGGGGGUAGAGCACUGUUUCGGCUAGGGGGCCAUCCCGGCUUACCAACCCGAUGCAAACUGCGAAUACCGGAGAAUGUUAUCACGGGAGACACACGGCGGGUGCUAACGUCCGUCGUGAAGAGGGAAACAACCCAGACCGCCAGCUAAGGUCCCAAAGUCAUGGUUAAGUGGGAAACGAUGUGGGAAGGCCCAGACAGCCAGGAUGUUGGCUUAGAAGCAGCCAUCAUUUAAAGAAAGCGUAAUAGCUCACUGGUCGAGUCGGCCUGCGCGGAAGAUGUAACGGGGCUAAACCAUGCACCGAAGCUGCGGCAGCGAACGUAUCACUUAAAGCGAUUCAGCGGGUUACGAUU
Molecule: ribosomal RNA, 1047 nt
Filed under: Salmonella enterica subsp. enterica serovar Newport
Lineage: Bacteria; Pseudomonadati; Pseudomonadota; Gammaproteobacteria; Enterobacterales; Enterobacteriaceae
Description: partial 23S ribosomal RNA
Rfam family: Bacterial large subunit ribosomal RNA
Source: RNAcentral